RNAcentral lists this ribosomal RNA (479 nucleotides) under uncultured bacterium. RNAcentral's name for it is "partial 16S ribosomal RNA". It matches the Rfam family "Bacterial small subunit ribosomal RNA", at positions 28 to 507 of the family's 1533-position model. The record is from RNAcentral.
GAUGAACGCUCGCGGGAGGCCUAACACAUGCAAGCCGAGCGGUAUUGUUUCUUCGGAAAUGAGAGAGCGGCGUACGGGUGCGUAACACGUGUGCAACCUGCCUUUAUCUGGGGGAUAGCCUUUCGAAAGGAAGAUUAAUACUCCAUAAUAUAUUGAACGGCAUCGUUUAAUAUUGAAAGCUCCGGCGGAUAGAGAUGGGCACGCGCAAGAUUAGCUAGUUGGUGAGGUAACGGCUCACCAAGGUGAUGAUCUUUAGGGGGCCUGAGAGGGUGAUCCCCCACACUGGUACUGAGACACGGACCAGACUCCUACGGGAGGCAGCAGUGAGGAAUAUUGGUCAAUGGGUGCAAGCCUGAACCAGCCAUCCCGCGUGAAGGACGACUGCCCUAUGGGUUGUAAACUUCUUUUGUAUAGGGAUAAACCUACCCUCGAGAGGGUAGCUGAAGGUACUAUACGAAUAAGCACCGGCUAACUCCGUG